Chaetomium strumarium is the source of this 77-nucleotide non-coding RNA. Lineage: Eukaryota; Fungi; Ascomycota; Sordariomycetes; Sordariales; Chaetomiaceae. The record is from the annotation of a RefSeq genome assembly.
AGCUUAGUGGUAUAGCUUAGUUAUUAUACCUGAAUAGAUGCUUUAGGAGAUUAUAGGUUCAAAUCCUAUCUCUGCUA